UACGUAGGGGGCUAGCGUUGUCCGGAAUCAUUGGGCGUAAAGCGCGUGUAGGCGGUCCGGUAAGUCCGCUGUGAAAGUCGGGGGCUCAACCCUCGGAUGCCGGUGGAUACUGGCGAGCUUGAGUGCAGGAGAGGAACGCGGAAUUCCAGGUGUAGCGGUGAAAUGCGUAGAUAUCUGGAGGAACACCGGUGGCGAAGGCGGCGUUCUGGACUGCAACUGACACUGAGGAACGAAAGCCAGGGGAGCAAACGGG
Molecule: ribosomal RNA, 253 nt
Filed under: uncultured bacterium
Lineage: Bacteria
Description: partial 16S ribosomal RNA
Rfam family: Bacterial small subunit ribosomal RNA
Source: RNAcentral